RNAcentral lists this ribosomal RNA (263 nucleotides) under uncultured bacterium. Its description in RNAcentral is "partial 16S ribosomal RNA". It matches the Rfam family "Bacterial small subunit ribosomal RNA", at positions 793 to 1055 of the family's 1533-position model. The record is from RNAcentral.
GUCCACGCCGUAAACGGUGGAUGCUGGAUGUGGGGCCCGUUCCACGGGUUCCGUGUCGGAGCUAACGCGUUAAGCAUCCCGCCUGGGGAGUACGGCCGCAAGGCUAAAACUCAAAGAAAUUGACGGGGCCCGCACAAGCGGCGGAGCAUGCGGAUUAAUUCGAUGCAACGCGAAGAACCUUACCUGGGCUUGACAUGUUCCCGACAGCCGUAGAGAUAUGGCCUCCCUUCGGGGCGGGUUCACAGGUGGUGCAUGGUCGUCGU